RNAcentral lists this ribosomal RNA (279 nucleotides) under uncultured bacterium. Its description in RNAcentral is "partial 16S ribosomal RNA". It matches the Rfam family "Bacterial small subunit ribosomal RNA", at positions 505 to 784 of the family's 1533-position model. The record is from RNAcentral.
GUGCAGCAGCCGCGGUAAUACGGAGGGGGCAAGCGUUGUUCGGAAUUACUGGGCGUAAAGCGCACGUAGGCGGAUUGGAAAGUUGGGGGUGAAAUCCCGGGGCUCAACCCCGGAACUGCCCUUGAUACUGGUAGUCUUGAGUUCGAGAGAGGUGAGUGGAAUUCCGAGUGUAGAGGUGAAAUUCGUAGAUAUUCGGAGGAACACCAGUGGCGAAGGCGGCUCACUGGCUCGAUACUGACGCUGAGGUGCGAAAGCGUGGGACGCAAACAGGAUUAGAUA